UGGGUGACAUACUCUGAGGAUAGUCUUAUCUUAAAAAUAUACGAACUCCAGCCUGUUUAUUCGUGCAGUGCCUGCACAGCCCUGGCUGCAGCCGGUGUGAACUCCGGAGCAGAGGCUGGAGAAUGGCUGGAAGAUCAGCAACUCCUGGAACACACGAGCUACUCGAUAAUACCUCGCUGACGUGGCUGCCCAGGACGUCAGUCCCUGGCUAUGGAAACACACCUGGCUGCCAUUGCCUGGAGAGACUGCCAGGAUACCAAGGCUUUGUGAUAGCUGCAUGACGAGCUGUAAACACCAUCUGUGGUUCAUGCGAAGCUUCCUUCACCUCAAAACAAAAGCAAACACAGUUUCUUACCAAGACAGUUUGUUUGAGUGAAGUAUUAUUACUAAGUGACAGCACAACAUCUGUGCACCUACCACAAAAGGCCUCAACUUCAUUCCUUCCAUGUUAAAAGAAAGAAAAUGCCCCUGAGUGCCAAAGUAACCAGACUUCUCAUUAUGUUGGAAAAGCUGCCAAGUGUGACUGACAAAUGGAGCUAAAUAA
This 544-nucleotide long non-coding RNA is filed under the name Manacus vitellinus (golden-collared manakin). RNAcentral's name for it is "lncRNA (ENSMVIG00005003220.1)". The record is from RNAcentral. Lineage: Eukaryota; Metazoa; Chordata; Aves; Passeriformes; Pipridae.